GAUGAACGCUGGCGGCGUGCCUAAUACAUGCAAGUCGAGCGAACGGACGAGAAGCUUGCUUUUCUGAUGUUAGCGGCGGACGGGUGAGUAACACGUGGAUAACCUACCUAUAAGACUGGGAUAACUUCGGGAAACCGGAGCUAAUACCGGAUAAUAUUUUGCACCGCAUGGUUCAAAAGUGAAAGACGGUCUUGCUGUCACUUAUAGAUGGAUCCGCGCUGCAUUAGCUAGUUGGUAAGGUAACGGCUUACCAAGGCAACGAUGCAUAGCCGACCUGAGAGGGGGAUCGGCCACACUGGAACUGAGACACGGUCCAGACUCCGACGGGAGGCAGCAGUAGGGAAUCGUCCGCAAUGGGCGAAAGCCUGACGGAGCAACGCCGCGUGAGUGAUGAAGGGCUGCGGAUCGUAAAACUCUGUUAUUAGGGAAGAACAUAUGUGUAAGUAACUGUGCACAUCUUGACGGUACCUAAACAGAAAGCCACGGCUAACUACGU
This 496-nucleotide ribosomal RNA is filed under the name uncultured bacterium. RNAcentral describes it as "partial 16S ribosomal RNA". It matches the Rfam family "Bacterial small subunit ribosomal RNA", at positions 28 to 506 of the family's 1533-position model. The record is from RNAcentral.